Molecule: ribosomal RNA, 460 nt
Filed under: uncultured bacterium
Lineage: Bacteria
Description: partial 16S ribosomal RNA
Rfam family: Bacterial small subunit ribosomal RNA
Source: RNAcentral
CCUACGGGAGGCAGCAGUGAGGAAUAUUGGUCAAUGGACGAGAGUCUGAACCAGCCAAGUAGCGUGAAGGAUGACUGCCCUAUGGGUUGUAAAUUUCUUUUAUAAAGGAAUAAAACGAGGCACGGGUGCCUUUUUGCAUGUACUUUAUGAAUAAGGAUCGGCUAAAUCCGUGCCAGCAGCCGCGGUAAUACGGAUGAUCCGAGCGUUAUCCGGAUUUAUUGUGUUUAAAGGGAGCGUAGAUGGGUUGUUAAGUCAGUUGUGAAAGUUUGCGGCUCAACCGUAAAAUUGCAAUUGAUACUGGCAGUCUUGAGUACAGUUGAGGUAGGCGGAAUGCGUGGGGUAGCGGUGAAAUGCUUAGAUAUCACGAAGAACCCCGAUUGCGAAGGCAGCUUACUAAACUGUGACUGACAUUGAUGCUCGAAAGUGUGGGUAUCAAACAGGAUUAGAUACCCGGGUAGUC